RNAcentral lists this transfer RNA (74 nucleotides) under Bacteroidales bacterium. RNAcentral's name for it is "tRNA-Cys". It matches the Rfam family "tRNA". From Rfam's summary of the family: Transfer RNA (tRNA) molecules are approximately 80 nucleotides in length. The record is from RNAcentral. Lineage: Bacteria; Pseudomonadati; Bacteroidota; Bacteroidia; Bacteroidales.
GGUCGGUUGGCCGAGUGGUCAGGCACCGGUCUGCAAAACCGUACACGGCGGUUCGAAUCCGCCACCGACCUCCA